Eucalyptus grandis is the source of this 720-nucleotide long non-coding RNA. RefSeq lists it as uncharacterized. The transcript has 2 exons. Lineage: Eukaryota; Viridiplantae; Streptophyta; Magnoliopsida; Myrtales; Myrtaceae. The record is from RefSeq and is a predicted model, not a curated record.
AGAAUCAGAGAAACCAGCCCUCACAUCACCCUCUCUCCCCUCUUUAGCCCCAAACAAAUUUGUAGCCCUUUCUCCCCUGUUUUCCUCUUCUUUAUGUUUUUGCUCCAGCUAGCCUUCUUGUGAAAAAUUGAGUUAAUAGUUGCCUUCCCAUGAGAAUCAGCCUUCAUGCCACCCACCAUCGUCUUUAGGACACCCAAACUGUACGGGAGGACUUGGCCGUUCGCCGGACAGAGCCACCGGUUGACUUGCUGGUUGGCCAGAAGUUGCUGCUCGUCGGUUUGUCAGUCCGCCUACCCACCUGCACUAUUUCACGAUUUCAGCCUUUUUUGUCCCAUUCCAACCAUUCCUCCACCCAGCCCAGCUACCAGUAGGUCCCCCUCGCUGGAGUUCCAAUUAGCUGCCCAUCUCCUUUUCCUUCUUUGUUGUUCGGUUUCCAGAGUUGCAGUGGGAGGCAGUGUUUGUUGUUGCUGUUCCAGCCCUAGACUACCUUGGAUCGUCAUGGUUGAGAUUCCCGAGUGUAGCCUCCAUCGUCACCAUCGCGUCCGUGUCUCCAGCCCGUUUAACGAGUCUCUAGUAUGAAGAAUUCGAAGCUUGAGGUGGAAAGGUCAGGAGUAUAGAUGGCUUAGUAGUUCUUCUUGGAGAUAGAUUUCUUGUACAUAGACCUUAGAGUUGGCCUCUAUGUAUAAACUAGUUUGUUUAUGAAAAGUGUUCUGGUGAAAA